GCGUGGGUGAUGAAGCUCUGAGGAGUGUAAAACCCUGUUAGGAGGGAAGAAACUUCCGAUUUAUCGGAACUGACGGUACCUCCAGAGAAAGCUCCGGCUAACUCCGUGCCAGCAGCCGCGGUAACACGGGGGGAGCAAGCGUUGUCCGGAUUUACUGGGCGUAAAGAGCGUGUAGGCGGGAUAAUCAGUCAACUGUGAAAUCUUUCGGCUUAACCGGAAACCUGCAGCUGAUACUGUUAUCCUUGAGUUCGGAAGAGGGAAGUGGAAUUCCUGGUGUAGCGGUGAAAUGCGU
This 292-nucleotide ribosomal RNA is filed under the name uncultured bacterium. RNAcentral's name for it is "partial 16S ribosomal RNA". It matches the Rfam family "Bacterial small subunit ribosomal RNA", at positions 399 to 691 of the family's 1533-position model. The record is from RNAcentral.